CAAUAGCGUAUAUUAAAGUUGUUGCAGUUAAAAAGCUCGUAGUUGGAUUUCUGGUAGGAGCGACCGUGCCGAACUUGAUUGUUCGAGUAUUGUGUUGUCUUCAGCCAUCCUCGUGGAGAACUUUUCUAACAUUAACUUGUUGGGAUUGGGACCCGCGUCGUUUACUGUGAAAAAAUUAGAGUGUUUAAAGCAGGCAUUAGCUUGAAUACAUUAGCAUGGAAUAGUAAGAUAGGACUUUGGUACUAUUUUGUUGGUUUGCAUACCAAAUUAAUGAUCAACAGGAACAGUUUGAGGAUAUUCGUAUGAACAUGUCAGAGGUGAAAUUCUUGGAUUUUGAUCAGACGAACUACUGCGAAAGCAUUUAUCAAGGAUGUUUUCAUUGA
This 383-nucleotide ribosomal RNA is filed under the name uncultured eukaryote. Its description in RNAcentral is "partial 18S ribosomal RNA". It matches the Rfam family "Eukaryotic small subunit ribosomal RNA", at positions 592 to 976 of the family's 1831-position model. The record is from RNAcentral.